GUUCUUACUUUGCCAGCACAUAUACUAAAAUUGGAAUAAUGCAGAGAUUAAUAUGGCCCCUAUGCAAACAUGAUACACAAAUUUGAUGGGGGAUGUUCUUCUGU
Small nuclear RNA from Phodopus roborovskii (desert hamster), 104 nucleotides. The record is from RefSeq and is a predicted model, not a curated record. NCBI's taxonomy places the organism in Eukaryota, Metazoa, Chordata, Mammalia, Rodentia, Cricetidae.